RNAcentral lists this ribosomal RNA (456 nucleotides) under uncultured bacterium. Its description in RNAcentral is "bacterial SSU rRNA". It matches the Rfam family "Bacterial small subunit ribosomal RNA", at positions 32 to 507 of the family's 1533-position model. The record is from RNAcentral.
GACGAAACGCUGGCGGCGUGCUUAAACACAUGCAAGUCGAACGGGAGUAUUGAAGAAGCUUGCUUUAGAGAUACUUUAGUGGCGGACGGGUGAGUAACGCGUGAGGAGCUGUCCUAUGCAGGGGGACAACAGCUGGAAACGGCUGCUAAUACCCCAUAAGCCGAGAGGUAAAAGGAUCAAUCCGGCAGAGGAGGUACUCGCGUCCUAUCAGCUAGUAGGUGAGGUAACGGCUCACCUAGGCGAAGACGGGUAGCCGGCCUGAGAGGGCGACCGGCCACACUGGGACUGAGACACGGCCCAGACUCCUACGGGAGGCAGCAGUGGGGAAUAUUGCACAAUGGGGGAAACCCUGAUGCAGCAACGCCGCGUGGAGGAAGAAGGUUUUCGGAUUGUAAACUCCUGUCUUUUGGGACGAUAAUGACGGUACCAAAAGAGGAAGCCACGGCUAACUACGUG